Molecule: ribosomal RNA, 506 nt
Filed under: uncultured bacterium
Lineage: Bacteria
Description: partial 16S ribosomal RNA
Rfam family: Bacterial small subunit ribosomal RNA
Source: RNAcentral
AGUGAACGCUGGCGGUAGGCCUAACACAUGCAAGUCGAACGGCAGCACAGGAGAGCUUGCUCUCUGGGUGGCGAGUGGCGGACGGGUGAGGAAUACAUCGGAAUCUACUUUUUCGUGGGGGAUAACGUAGGGAAACUUACGCUAAUACCGCAUACGACCUACGGGUGAAAGCAGGGGAUCUUCGGACCUUGCGCGAUUGAAUGAGCCGAUGUCGGAUUAGCUAGUUGGCGGGGUAAGGGCCCACCAAGGCGACGAUCCGUAGCUGGUCUGAGAGGAUGAUCAGCCACACUGGAGCUGAGACACGGUCCAGACUCCUACGGGAGGCAGCAGUGGGGAAUAUUGGACAAUGGGCGCAAGCCUGAUCCAGCCAUACCGCGUGGGUGAAGAAGGCCUUCGGGUUGUAAAGCCCUUUUGUUGGGAAAGAAAUCCAGCUGGUUAAUACCCGGUUGGGAUGACGGUACCCAAAGAAUAAGCACCGGCUGACUUCGUGCCAGCCGCCGCCGUAA